This 1015-nucleotide ribosomal RNA is filed under the name Vibrio sp. NI02. RNAcentral describes it as "bacterial SSU rRNA". It matches the Rfam family "Bacterial small subunit ribosomal RNA", at positions 446 to 1455 of the family's 1533-position model. Lineage: Bacteria; Pseudomonadati; Pseudomonadota; Gammaproteobacteria; Vibrionales; Vibrionaceae. The record is from RNAcentral.
GGAAGGGUGUGUAUUUAAUAGAUGCACAUUUUGACGUUAGCUGCAGAAGAAGCACCGGCUAACUCCGUGCCAGCAGCCGCGGUAAUACGGAGGGUGCGAGCGUUAAUCGGAAUUACUGGGCGUAAAGCGCAUGCAGGUGGUUUGUUAAGUCAGAUGUGAAAGCCCGGGGCUCAACCUCGGAACUGCAUUUGAAACUGGCAGGCUAGAGUACUGUAGAGGGGGGUAGAAUUUCAGGUGUAGCGGUGAAAUGCGUAGAGAUCUGAAGGAAUACCGGUGGCGAAGGCGGCCCCCUGGACAGAUACUGACACUCAGAUGCGAAAGCGUGGGGAGCAAACAGGAUUAGAUACCCUGGUAGUCCACGCCGUAAACGAUGUCUACUUGGAGGUUGUGGCCUUGAGCCGUGGCUUUCGGAGCUAACGCGUUAAGUAGACCGCCUGGGGAGUACGGUCGCAAGAUUAAAACUCAAAUGAAUUGACGGGGGCCCGCACAAGCGGUGGAGCAUGUGGUUUAAUUCGAUGCAACGCGAAGAACCUUACCUACUCUUGACAUCCAGAGAACUUAGCAGAGAUGCUUUGGUGCCUUCGGGAACUCUGAGACAGGUGCUGCAUGGCUGUCGUCAGCUCGUGUUGUGAAAUGUUGGGUUAAGUCCCGCAACGAGCGCAACCCUUAUCCUUGUUUGCCAGCACUUCGGGUGGGAACUCCAGGGAGACUGCCGGUGAUAAACCGGAGGAAGGUGGGGACGACGUCAAGUCAUCAUGGCCCUUACGAGUAGGGCUACACACGUGCUACAAUGGCGCAUACAGAGGGCGGCCAACUUGCGAGAGUGAGCGAAUCCCAAAAAGUGCGUCGUAGUCCGGAUUGGAGUCUGCAACUCGACUCCAUGAAGUCGGAAUCGCUAGUAAUCGUGGAUCAGAAUGCCACGGUGAAUACGUUCCCGGGCCUUGUACACACCGCCCGUCACACCAUGGGAGUGGGCUGCAAAAGAAGCAGGUAGUUAACCUUCGGGAGGACGCUG